This 1545-nucleotide long non-coding RNA is filed under the name Olea europaea subsp. europaea. Lineage: Eukaryota; Viridiplantae; Streptophyta; Magnoliopsida; Lamiales; Oleaceae. The record is from RNAcentral.
AUUUUUUCUUUACUCUACUAUCUAUAAUCUAUACAUUGUCAUAGUUAGAUAGAAAUGCAUUAUUUAAUUUUCUUUUGUCUUUGUUUUGAUUAGUGAAUAUUAAACUAUUUAACUGAUUGGAGGAAUAGAAAAAGAAAUACAGAUUAUUUCUAUCAAAACCUUUCUAGCAAGAGCUAUUGAAGGUUGCUGUCUUGAUUAGGGAUGACUAUAUCUUUUUGGUCAUCAUGCAUUCAUACCAUUCAAACUGAAAUGUGACGAUGUUUUUAUUGAGCAACUAUCUUAUGUCUCUAUCAGUUUGAUUUGAACCAUGAAGGAAAAAUCCACGUCUCUAAACUUUCCAUUAUUUGACUGCUUUUGUGGAUGGUUCCUAGUUGAGAAAAUAAAUGCUGCCAAGUGCAAUGAUUUUCUUCUUUUCCUUUGCUUAUAUUUUGCCACAAUCUAGUUAUAUAUUUUGCUUAAUACAAGUUUGUGAAAAUUUGGCUCGAGAGGAAAUAUGGACUUUGUGGUAGCUUUAAUUGUCCACUUAAUUCAUGUGGCAAGUAAAUAAUUUUUAGAAUAAUGCUACUUAUACAUUAUGGAGUUAUAUAAUGGUUUACAUAUAAAUGAGGUGUCAAAAAGAAAGUGAAUAUAUAUAUAUAUUAUUUGGUCGAAGAAAUUUUGACCCAAUUAUAUCUUACCACAUCAAAUGUCUGUAAACCAUUAUAUACAUAUAGUGCGACUGUAAUUUUGAAUCCAUGGACUAAAUUCUUGUUAUGAACCUAUAAAUUCUUGAUAAUACAAGUGUUUUUGUUUACCUUCAUUUGGAUGUAUAGAGUUUUGAAUGCAUCUAUUGAUGAUGAAUCAUGAUUGAUAGGCUUCUAACUCAUUUGGGGUCUAUUCUCUCGUAGAUUUCUCGCAGAGACAGGGCUUGUCUCAGUCGAACACCAAAUGCAGGAGAUUGGCUUAGCGCCUGGAAAUGGAGAGGAUAAAAGCAAGAAGAGCAACUGAAGCAACUCAAUCAAUACAUUAUGCAGUUUCUGAAGUACAAUACAUGGAAGAAACAAUCUCAAGUAAAAAGAAGUAGUUAGGACCGUUUGACAUUGCUUUUGCUUUCGAUUUCUGUAGAAGAGCUUUUGGACCAACUUCCUUUAAAAUUCUUAUAACUAGAAGAAGCAUUUUUAUAAAACUAGUCAAACGAGUUCAAAAGCAGUUUUUGAAUGACAAAAGCUCCUUUCGAUUUUGCAAAAGUCAUGCCAAACGGACCCUUAAUAUAGCUCGUCUCUAUAUUUUUGAAGAUCUGCUCAUUUCUUCGUUGUGUGCUUCAACCUUCCUUUUGUUCCUCCUUCUUCGACUUGUGCUUUUUGCCCUUGAUGUAGCAGAAACAUGAGCAGCAGGGUAGCUGCAACAAGAACUUCAUUUCUUUUUCCGAUAUGACAUUUGUGUUGACACAAUAACUCACUUAUAGAGGGUUUUUGCCCAUUUGUAUUACUGUAUUUUGAUUCAUUUCCUAACCCUUCCAGAUAAAGAUGCUUAGCUUAUCAUGUUCACACUAAAGAUAAGAAGAUG